UUAAAUUUCAGCUUCAGUUGCUGGUUGAGUUAGGGAGAGAGACUGUCACAGAGAAACACAGAAAAACUUCAGGCAGCAGUGUGGCAGAGACAUGACGUGACAAAGCCUGGGUUAGCUGGAAAGAAGGAUGAUUCUGCCCCAGGAAAGGGAGCAGGGCAAGGUGUCAACAGCCAUGGAAAAGGGUCUUCGGAAACACAGCCACAGGCAAACUCCCUUUCCCGCGUGAAGACAAAGCAAUGUGAAAUUCUGAUUAGAGGAAGUGGAAUUUGGGGGCUUUGAUGACAUUUAGACAGGUGGAUGGUGGGGUGCUGUCUGUGCGCAUGGACAUCUUAUUCAAAGUGCAACUGCUUCUGCUAGCUACAGAUGUCUAACUGCAUCCAAAUAUCUGCAAGGAGGCUGAGCUGAUUGAUCACCAGAACUGGACCGGCAGGGGCCAGUGGGAUGGGGGCAGUCAAGGGGCUGGGAGCUCUAGCUCUGUUGUUUGGGGUUCUUUAAAUGAUGGGCAUAUUAUUUAAAACAUUUACUUUGUACUUUAUGUAAAAGUAUUCAAAAGUAAAUUAUAGGUAUCAUGACAUGGUACCCCUUCAGUACUUAUCUCUUGUAUUAAAAAAGGACAUUUUUCUGCCCUAAAUUUAUUUUUCUAAUAGCAGAAGCAGCAGAAAAAAAUCAUCUAUUAAACUACUGUGGUGAUUUAACUUAUCUACAUCAAAAAGCUAAGCUGGUGUCAAAGAAAAAAUCUAAACCCUUACUUAGAGUUGGGAACUGAUUUAAUGGUUAUUUCUAGGUCCUCCUAAAAACAUCAGUAUUACCCCUGUGUCUUACUUUUAUCUAAUGUUUUACAUUCUUUUCUUUAAAAUGCUGACAUCCUCAUAGACCAACAAGUCAAAGUUAAUUAUAUUUGUUGUAUUUAUUUACCUCAGUCAUUUAAAUUACUAAAGUAAUACAAUGCAAAGCUAAUCACAACGGACUGAGUAUCUUAAACAAGAUAGUUAACCUAGAAUUAUCAGACUCCCAAAGAGUCCAGAGAUAAAUUCAGGACAUCUGUGAGCUUCGACAGAAAAAAAAAACUUUAGUUUCACUAAGAACUGAAAUUCAGCAUUUCCUUCCAGUAUGAAUAGAGGCUACAAAUCACAGAAGCAUUAGCAGACCUGUGAAUCUGUUACCAUAGAAAUCACUAUAUUUUUAAAUCACAGUGUGGUUGACGUAUUUCAAAAUAUCAUUUGCUCUUACCUCAUGUUAGGUGUAUUAGUUAUUAGAUGUGUUACCAGGUCUUUUACUUAAUGCAGUGAUUAAAAUGCAUGUAUGUAACUCUUAUUACAAACUUGUUUUUAAAUAUUUAGAUAACUGUAUUUCAAUAUAACUGGGUUUUAUUAUACCUUAUAUAUUUCACUGGAAGCACAUAUAAACAGUCUUCUGAGGGGAAGGGCUGUUUACACGUUUCACGAAUGUCAAAGGUCAAGAACCCCUGAAACCCAGCCACUCUGUCCAGCGAUUCCGGUCUCCCAACAGAACUUCUGUCCCCAGCGCCAGGCGCGGUCUCCCACACUUACUCUUUUGCAUGGACAAAUAUAUUUAUGAAU
Artibeus jamaicensis (Jamaican fruit-eating bat) is the source of this 1580-nucleotide long non-coding RNA. RefSeq lists it as uncharacterized. Lineage: Eukaryota; Metazoa; Chordata; Mammalia; Chiroptera; Phyllostomidae. The record is from RefSeq and is a predicted model, not a curated record. The transcript has 3 exons.